UACGUAGGUGGCAAGCGUUGUCCGGAUUUACUGGGUGUAAAGGGCGUGCAGCCGGAGAGACAAGUCAGAUGUGAAAUCCACGGGCCCAACCCGUGAACUGCAUUUGAAACUGUUUCCCUUGAGUGUCGGAGAAGUAAUCGGAAUUCCUUGUGUAGCGGUGAAAUGCGUAGAUAUAAGGAAGAACACCAGUGGCGAAGGCGGAUUACUGGACGAUAACUGACGGUGAGGCGCGAAAGCGUGGGGAGCAAACAGG
Molecule: ribosomal RNA, 253 nt
Filed under: uncultured bacterium
Lineage: Bacteria
Description: partial 16S ribosomal RNA
Rfam family: Bacterial small subunit ribosomal RNA
Source: RNAcentral